GUGUCAGCCGCCGCGGUAAUACGUAGGUUGCGAGCGUUGUCCGGAUUUACUGGGCGUAAAGCGCGCGCAGGCGGUCUCGAAAGCCCACCGUGAAAGCUCUCGGCCCAACUGAGAGAGGCCGGUGGGAACUUCGGGACUUGAAGGCGGGAGAGGCAGAUGGAAUUUCCGGUGUAGCGGUAAAAUGCGUAGAUACCGGAAGGAACACCAGUGGCGAAGGCGAUCUGCUGGCCCGCACUUGACGCUCAGGCGCGAAAGCUAGGGUAGCGACCGGGAUUAGAAACCCUCGUAGUCC
Molecule: ribosomal RNA, 292 nt
Filed under: uncultured bacterium
Lineage: Bacteria
Description: partial 16S ribosomal RNA
Rfam family: Bacterial small subunit ribosomal RNA
Source: RNAcentral